UUACUGGAUUCUCUGUAUAACUAUCGGUUGUACGGUGGUUGAGGUCUGAGAUAAUCGUUACAUCGGUAACUAAUCUGUGUAAUGAUCGGCUGUGCAGUGGUUGAGAUCAUCUGAUAUAAUUGUUACAUCACUGGAUACUCUGCUUAAUCAUCUAAUGUACGAUUGUCAUAAUCGUAAGAUUGCUAUAUACUCAGUAUAACGAUUGACUCUGCGAUGGAUGGUUGGUAUCAUCUGAUAUAAUAGUUACAUCACUCGAUAUUUCAUUAAACGAUCGACUGUGUGAUGAUUGAUAUCAUCUGUAUUUUAUUCACCUUGCUAGAUAUUCUGUUUAACAAUUAACAAUCGAUAGAACGAUGGUUGCAAUCAUCUCAUAUCGUCAUACCAGUAUAUAUACUCUGUUUAACGAUCGGCUAUACGAUGAUGGAGAUCAUCUAACAUA
RNAcentral lists this long non-coding RNA (439 nucleotides) under Mytilus galloprovincialis (Mediterranean mussel). Lineage: Eukaryota; Metazoa; Mollusca; Bivalvia; Mytilida; Mytilidae. The record is from RNAcentral.